UUAAACGUGGCUGCACGAAAAGAAGCACAAAAAAUAGAAUGACAAAAAUGUGGUCGUUAUGUGAACUUUGAGGUAACUCUUCAUGGAAUCGCUUAACCCACACUCCAUGCAAUGUUAAGCAGAUUUGAGGCCAGAGCCAGCCAUCGUAACCACAAGAUAUGCAAAUUUUGCUGGUGCUGGUAUUGACCUGUCACAGCAAAAAUGAAAAAUCCAAGUAUAAUCGCUUGGAUAAACAGCAUCCCAUCUGAUUACCGUGGAUCUCUUCUUCUCCUUUCUUGAAAUCCCCUCUGUCCUCGUGUACGCCCAUGUGAAUAUGGGGGUAUUCACGAGUCUGAGGUUCUUUUUCCUAUCCUGCCUGGUGUCUUCCAACUAUUCUGCGGAUGGAGCACUUGUGGAAUGCCUGGCUGUAUUUCCCAGGCAUAAAGAUUUGAGACCAGAGCCAGUCAUCAAAGCAACAAAAUAUCCAAAAUUUGCUUGUGCUGUUAUUGGCUUAUUGCAACAAUCUGUCAUCAGCAACAGUAAGAAUCAUCGCUUGGAUAAUGGAGAAACUGCCGAUUUCGUCCAAGUUACGUCUUCUUCCCCUCUCUUGAAAUCCCCUCUGUCCUCGUGUACGCCCAUGUGAAUGUGGGGGUAUUCACGAGUCUGAGGCUCUUUUUCCUAUCCCUUAACUAGUAUCUUCCAACUAUUCUGCGGAUGGAGCACUUUUGGAUGUCUGGCUGUAAUUCCCAGGCAUAAAGGAAUAAUGACCAACUUGUUAGCACAAUAGAAUCGCUGUCGGACCACCACAGAUGCGCUACAGCGAUCCUCCCGUCAUGCACGGCACAAGAGAGUAUUAGAAGACCAACGCCACGCCAAUUUGUGGAUUUCGUCGAACUCAUAAAAAGUGGCGGAGUCUAUUCCCGGCCAAUGGCUAAUUUUCGCCAUUUUCCAUUUGUUUCCGAGACAGUUGGGGAUAACGCAUUAAGAAUAUACUGCGAGUCUGUGACACUUUCCAGCUUUCCAUUUUAAAAGAUAAUCUAGCCUGUAUUUUCAACUCUGCGAAAUCAUCUUAACAUGUGGACUGAAACUGAACAUUUUUUGCCUCAAUGUCGUUGCUUGCUGCAGCUUGCUGCUUGUACCGGUUGAUGUCUCAACUCAUGCAGAAACACUUCACAGCUAAAAAAGCUAUAGAUCAAUUAAUUGAACACCAGAGAGUAGAUCUUUGCUUCAGUAUUGCAAUUCUAUCUGAUCAUGAGACCUGAAGCUUAUGCUGUACAUUUUCCCAAACGUCGUCUCUUGGGGCAUGUACAGGUUCAUCUGUACGUUUCGUCAUAUGCUGAAAUACUUCAGGACAGUAAAAGUAAUUAUGGUGAUCAACUUUUUAAUCUAAGCCUAUUGAAGUCUACGCUUCUUCAUUGCAGUCAAAUGUGCACAUGGAUUUGUUGCAGCCAGCUGGCGAAAGGUGUUCCUGUUGCAGGCUUGCACCCUGUACCGUGUGUAGCUUUCGUCACAUGCAGAAACACUUCCGAACAAUUUAAAUAGGAUUAACAGCCUCUUGAGGUCUAAGCCUCUUUGUUGCAGUCCAAUGUGUACAUGAAUUUUGUGCAGUCAGCUAGUGAACUGUGUGGUGAGCUGUUGCAUUCAGACUGUGGUGCUGGUAUUGUUCGUUCAUUUAAUUGUGGACCGUUCAGUCGUUCGUUUUUCAUAAGAAAUCUGUCGCUUGUCGUAGGUGUGUAAAAUUGUGUCCACCAGGUGGCAAAGUAGGUUAGCAUUUCGUUCUUGAUGUCGAAGAAAAGUGACAUCUUAAUUUGUGCUUCUAAAUAAGUGCUUUUGUGGAAAGUACUUGUAAAGAGUAGUCAACUUUUGUUGAUGAAACAUAACAGAAAUUCUUUAUAAAAAGAUUUCCAUGGUCAGUUUUAUGUUUGUGACGGUCUGUUAAAAUAAGAAUUUAAAUCUAGAACAACGCCUCCUUUGAGCGGCCCGGACAAUCCUGAAUCCUUUAGGGUUGCCAUUCCAUCGAGGCUUAAACGAGGAUGACGCGGAGGUGUUGCCCAUUGAGGGGUUUUGGUGACAAGGAGUCACUGAACGAAACGCUAAACCAAAUAAAAAAAGUAUUAAAAAAGCACCAAACGACACGCGAUAGGUUCCGGCGGUCAUCAACUAUUCAAGAUGGUAGACCUGUCAAUGUAAAAGACAGGGGGACAGGGUCAAACAAAACACAGGUGAUAUGCUUCGUGCUGUUGAGGCUGAAUAUGAUUGGUCCACGGUAUAAUAACGGAUGCAACGUCAUCGCAAUAGCAAAUCUCUGCAGGCGAUUUGAAAUGCGAUUUUUUUUUUGUUUUUUGUUUUUUUUUGCUGGCACAACGUUGACUUCCCCAAAGACUUGAGAUUUUCUCUCCGGGUUUUGUUCUACUUUCACUUUCGUGACUAGCUUUAGCCAUGAAAGGCAUUGUACGCCCUAUAAAACACCUGUCUUGUUUACCUUUGUUUUCAUUCGCCAGUCGCAGUAUCCUUGCAUCAAUUGUUUUAUUAAUCUUUGUCUCCCAAUCGCCAAUACUAAACACGAACCAUGGCGCAUUUCCUGACUACAACGAUCCUGUUGGUCGUCGCGAUGCUGACCGUUGACGCCGCUAGACUCACCAAACGUCAAAUCGAUUUCGUUGGCGGUUUCUCACCUGCCAAGGUGGACAAUGUGGAAGUUGUGAUGAUGGCAGACUUCGCAACUACCGCCGUAUCAGCCAAUAUGAACUCCGGACCGGUAAAACUGCUCAAAAUCGUGAAAGCGGAAAUACAGGCAGUUUCGGGCACUAAGUACAAACUAAACCUCGAGAUAAGAUUGCAGUAGAAUAUUUUCAAAAAAGCCAAUUGUUCAAACGGUUCGAAAUUGAAGAUUUAUUCAUUCACUGAAUAAAUGAGUCAAAUGGCUCAAAUGUCAAUUGACCCAUCCCCAGCGACGUCAACCUGCAGAAAGAAAAAGGCCGUUUCUAUGGCCUUCAGACUCGAAGAUCGCGGAGAUAAUUACGUAAACUGGCAUGGGGUGGCGUAGAGGUUGGGUGAGAAUGACACGUUUUUCAACAUUAUCAAGCAGACCCAUCCCCAGCAACGUCUACCUAAAGAAGGAAAUAAAGGCCAGUUUGCAUUUCAAUCGAAGGUCAUGGAGAUCAUUACGAAAAGGUGUCAUACAGUGGAGAAGAGGUUGGGUGAGAAUGGGACGUUUUGCAUCAUUAUCAAGAAGGUAAAAUAGCCGCAAGGCUUGAGAGGAGGGGUGAGAAAAAGUCGUAUAAAAGGCGAGAGAAAAGUCGACAGGGAUCAGUCGAGUGAGUGUCUCCGACACGGCAACAGCUGCAUUCUUCGUCGUAAUAUCAGUUCGCAAUUAUGGGUAAAUAUUCAUUUUUAAUUUUGAUUCGUAAGUCUAUUGUAUCUUGUUUUGAGUUGUUGAUACGACUAGUAUCUUCGAAAAAUAAUAUCCAAUUGUUUAUUUUAUUGCAUAGUUAGUUAUGGAGUUGUGUUGCUGUUGGGUGUUGUAUCGUUGAUGUCGACCACGAGAGAAAAUCUUUUAGAAGGAAAGAAAAAAGGCAACGGAAGUCAAUCGAGUGAGCAUCUCCGACCAUGCAGCAGCUGCAUUCUUCGUCGUAUUAUCACUUUAUCAGGUCACAAUCACGGUCUGGCUGAUGCUGUCGUGCUGCUAUUGGUUGUUGUAUCGUCGAUGGCUGGGUGGACGGCUGGUGUUCCGAUGUCUCCUGGAUAAGGCGGAUACCAAACCGCAACGCCACCGCCUUACUACACAACAACAUACGCAACGACCAGUUACUACACCGAGGUUGCACAGUUGGGUUUACAGUUAAGCCACCAAGGAUCCAGAUUAUUACACCACAACUUGUGCUGCUCCCCGAGCUACACUACGAAAGCGCUAGAGUACUACACCGAGGCUCCCAAGUACUACACCACCAAGGCACCUGAGAUUACGCAACUACUUAUGCUGCCCCAACCAACGACACCGAGGCUUCAGCUUAUUACACAACCAAAGCUGUCGAAUUCUACACUGGAACGCCCAAGUACGACAGAAAUCAGUCUAGCUAGCUUCUCCGACACCCAACACGGCAGCCCUGAAGUUUCGAAUAAACUUCGCUUCAAACAGUGGAACGGCAAAGAAUGAAGACGAAUUCUACUGCAAUCGCGUCGAAUUGAAUAGUAAAGACAACACAUUCGUACGUGUACACCGCGUCGUUAACUUGACAUUGUUGGUCGGAAAGCCGAACUUGACGAUGGCCGUACCAUCACCUACGACAAGUGCGUUAUUGCCACAGGUAGUAAACGAAAAUCUUUUCCAAUCCCUGAGCGGUGCCCUUAAAGAUGUCCACGAGCACGUCACGCUGUCCCGCAACAUCGAUGGCGCUAACACAUGCCGAGUCCUCUAAAUGUUUAACCAAUGGACAACCGAGAAGGUGAAAGCGGAAAGUGUUAAUGUUUUGCCCAAAGCUUAUGUUGAGGCUGCAACUUUGGAAGACGACGAGGUCGCAUUGACCUUAAACGAUGGUUAAAAGAUUCUAACUAUGUCGUCGCUGUUGUCGGUUUCAACGCAAACACGGAUUUGGCUGUCGCUUCUGGUUUGGAAAUAGAUUCCAAUUUUGGUGGUUAUCGAGUCAAUACCGAGCUCGAAGCACGAUCGGCCGUCUGGCUGGCCGGAGAUGCUGCCUUCUUUUGUGAUAUCAAAUUGGGUCGUCGUCGUAGGGAAUAUCAUCACUUUGCUGUUGUAUCAGGGUGAUUGGCUGGAGAGAACAAUACUGGCAAGGAAACAUGGAUGAACAACUGCAGUGUACUCUUCCCAAGUGCAUUCUUCUUCGUAUUAUCAGUACGCAAUCGGUUGAUGAUGAUGUCGUGCUGUUGCCGUUUGUCGUAUCGUUGAAGGCUGGGUCGAUCACUGGUGUACCAAUGUCUCCUGGGUAUGGUGGAUACCAAAGCACCACACCGCUGCCUUACUACACAACGACAACAUUCGCACCAACCGGUUACUACACUGAGGCUCACAAUUACUACAUCACCAAGGCUCCAGAAUAUUACACCGCAGAUAACGCUUCCCCGAGCUACAUCAUCAAAGAUCCUGAGUACUACACCGAGGCUCCCAAGUGCUACACCACCAAGUCACCGGAGUACUACACGUAUGUUGCCCCAGCUUACUACACCGAGAGGUUUCCAAGAAUUAUUUAGUUCCUAGCUACUACACCGAGGCUCCAACUUAUUACACCACCAAAGCGGUUGAAUACUACACCGAGACACCCAAUUACUACACCACCAAGGCUCCAGAGUAUUACACCACAACUUGUGCUACCCCGAGCCACUACACCGAAGCCCCGAAGUAUUACUCUGCCCCAAGCUACACAACUGCAACUGAGGCGGCCAAGUAUUACGCAGCCCCGACUAACUACACAGCGGAUGUUCCUUCGUACUACGUUGAACCGGAAUACUACACCGAGGCUCCAGUUUACUACACCACAACCUACGCUACACCUACUACACACUACACCGAGGCCCCUAUGUACUACACUACCAAGGCACCCGAGUAUUAUAAAACUACUUACGCUGCUCCGACCAAAUACACCGAAGCUCCGAAGUAUUACUCUAUCCCGAGUUACUACACCACUAAGGCACCUGAAUAUUACACCACACCCUACGCUUCUCCAACUUACUACAGGGACGUUUCUGAAUACUAAAGUCGAAUUUUCAAUUUUAAUAAUUAUGUUCAUAUUUGUCGGUCAUAUCACAAUAAUUACUAGUCACUGGGAAUUGUUGAUCUUUAAAGAGAAAUAAAAUUUUGUUAACCUGGGUAA
Molecule: long non-coding RNA, 5807 nt
Organism: Daphnia pulex (common water flea)
Lineage: Eukaryota; Metazoa; Arthropoda; Branchiopoda; Diplostraca; Daphniidae
Exons: 22
Source: RefSeq, a predicted model, not a curated record